UUGGGAGCUCUCCCAUAUGGUCGACCUGCAGGCGGCCGCGAAUUCCUAGUGAUUAGAGUUUGAUCAUGGCUCAGAACGAAUGCUGGCGGCAGGCUUAACACAUGCAAGUCGAGCGCCCCGCAAGGGGAGCGGCGCACGGGUGAGUAACGCGUGGGAACAUGCCCUUAGGUACGGAAUAGCCUCGGGAAACUGGGAUUAAUACCGUAUAUGGAGAAAUCUGAAAGAUUUAUCGCCUAAGGAUUGGCCCGCGUUAGAUUAGCUUGUUGGUGAGGUAAUGGCUCACCAAGGCGACGAUCUAUAGCUGGUCUGAGAGGAUGAUCAGCCACACUGGGACUGAGACACGGCCCAGACUCCUACGGGAGGCAGCAGUGGGGAAUAUUGGACAAUGGGCGCAAGCCUGAUCCAGCCAUGCCGCGUGAGUGAUGAAGGCCUUCGGGUUGUAAAGCUCUUUAAUCGAAUUCCCGCGGCCG
RNAcentral lists this ribosomal RNA (470 nucleotides) under uncultured Alphaproteobacteria bacterium. Its description in RNAcentral is "bacterial SSU rRNA". It matches the Rfam family "Bacterial small subunit ribosomal RNA", at positions 1 to 455 of the family's 1533-position model. The record is from RNAcentral. Lineage: Bacteria; Pseudomonadati; Pseudomonadota; Alphaproteobacteria.